AGUUAAUGAACUUGUUAAAGUAUAUAUUUUGAAAAUAUAACAAAGAGACAAAAACCCUCUAUUAACUU
RNAcentral lists this transfer RNA (68 nucleotides) under Ceutorhynchus obstrictus. Its description in RNAcentral is "tRNA-Ser". Lineage: Eukaryota; Metazoa; Arthropoda; Insecta; Coleoptera; Curculionidae. The record is from RNAcentral.